Molecule: long non-coding RNA, 4351 nt
Organism: Pipra filicauda (Wire-tailed manakin)
Lineage: Eukaryota; Metazoa; Chordata; Aves; Passeriformes; Pipridae
Exons: 3
Source: RefSeq, a predicted model, not a curated record
AGGGUCCGUCACGGUUGUCAAAGGGCUUCCAAAGGGCUCCCCUUUGCUCCCCUCAGGGUCCCAAAGGGCUCCCUCGAGACUUCCAAAGGGCUCCCCUCAGCGUUUCCACAGGGUCCCAAAGGGCUCCCCAAAGGGCUUCCACAGGGCUUCCCUCAGUCCCAAAGGGUUUCCCAAACGGCUUCCCACAGGGUCCUUUGCAGCUCCCCAAAAGGUUUCCAAAGAGUUUCCGAAGGGUCUGCAAGGGCUCCCCAGAGGGCUCCCCAGAGGGCUUCUGCAGGGCUCUGACAUUGCUCCCUCGGGGCUCUCCACAGGAUCUCUUGGGGCUCCCACAGGGCUCCUUUUGGGGAGCAGAGCAGCCACCAUGGCUUCUCCUAAGGUGUGGCAGCGGGAUGGUUCUGGGGAGGAAGGGCCCUCUCUGCUGCCUUUGCAUCCCACUCAAAUGCACCCAGAAGUCAGUCACGGGAGGACCGUUGUAGGGUCUCCAUGGGAAUACCACCACCCUCCCCAGGCACGGUGUUGGACUGUCCAGACAGUUCUCCCCUAAGUUGUCAUGUUACACCCUCUACCUCCAGAACAAGGGCCUUUCUCUGCUCUUCCUGGUGCCCUGACAUCCUCACCCCAACCUGCUACACCCCAUCCUUCACACAGAGCCUCUGGAGAGGUUCCCAGGACUGAUAAGUAAGAGAAGAACAUUACAUCAAAUGUCUGACGUGCAACGUCUGACAGCAUCCUGCGUGUGUACAGGAGUCUGGGACCAGUUUGACCACCCCAGUCUGACUAUCCCAUUUGAAGGACUUCAGCCCGCCAGGGCAGGACCAGGCCCUUCCACAGAAAUGUCUUACACUGAUAACCAACGUAUUUGUGUCCCACCCAGCCAAUCUCCAGUGUGGUGUUCAUAGUAGCAUACUUGGAACGUCGAGAAAGAUGCUGUCUUUCGAGAAGUCCUACAGGAUAUGGAACAUGUCUGAAGUGACAGAUCUAGGCUCUGCGCCUGAACAAGUUCAUCAUGUAUUGCUUAACUUCAUUCUGAAUAAAAUAUGUAAACCCUCAGCUGAAGUGGAAAAUACUCUUGCAAUUAGAAGACAAAAUAUCUGGAUGAGGAGAAGGAUGAAUAAGAAGUUCCGGGACAAGCAGUGUCUAAAGAGUCAUUCCAGUGGGCCGUCUCAUGUGAAAUGACCUUGUUUCUUAUCUCUCAUGAGGAAGAUUUUAUACAGGACUUUGCUGGGAAAACUAUUGCUCCUUUGAGUCAAUGUUGGUGCAGUAUGAGAUAUAUCUAAGGCAGAAAUUCCAUAUACAGGGUUUGGGGAUGUGUAAGACCUUUAAAAGGUUGCCCGAAGCUAACGAAUGGUGAGUCAGUGACAUAUGAAAGAGCUGAAAUAAUAAACUUUAACUGAUAUAUGUAGCGUAUGCAGUGCUUCCACUAGUAGUGUCACAAGGAGAGUAGUGAAAUUUUUCAUUGUCAAAGAGUUUUGUGGACACUGACUGGUCUCUUGUUAGGCAAACUCAAUCCUGUCAUAAACGGGAACUCCACCAACUCCAGGAAAGAUGUGUCUUUUGUCACUGGUGCUUAUACCAGGUCCACAGAGGUGGAAAUACUCACAUCUCCAGACUGCUGAGUGGGAGAUGCCCUAAAAGCAACAAUAGAGCCCUGAUAAGAACGAAUGCAAGACAUUUCACAUUCAUUCCCGUGCUCCUGGAGGGCCAUGCCACCACUCAGAUAGAAGCACUGAAAAAAUGGGAUUUACCUGAAUUUGCAGCAGUUGAUAAAUGUGUCAGAAACAAGAGGAAAAGCAUCUGCUGAUGAAAGGUCACAUUACUACUGAGUCACCCUGUUGUGUUCUCCUGUUGCAGAGAUCUCUGCAGUAUGUGUCCUUAACCUGCUGAAGGGAUGGUGAUGGCUGUGAACUCCUUGGAGCUGUGCUGCUCUGCAGAGCUGUAUCUCACAUAAGUUCCUAAACUGAGUAGACAGGGUGUCCUCUUCUAUCCAGAAAAAAGAUUGCCUUCCCUCUGUUGGAUCAGACACAUACACUCCUAAAUCUGAUGCCAUUAAUGAGACCUGACCACGGUUCCCUGUGCUGGUCUGUCUCUCUGUGCCAAGGGCAAUUACAGGACGUGUUCUUGCAUCUGAGAGUGACUCUACAAGCUGAUCAGUUGACAAUUCAAUGAUUUUUUUGCAUCUAGACCUCAGCCUGUGCUUCCAGUUGACCAGCAGUCCCUUUGCUGUGUAGAGCAGUUAACCUGGCACAGAGCCAAAGCUUAUCCCGCUUAUUUUCCAUAUAGCCCGAAGCCCAUGCACACACAAACAUAAAUACGUGUGUGAAACAAUAUACUCUGAAAGGCUACUGAGGCUGUGCACUCCAGCAUUCAACAGCCUGCAGUGUCCAGAGUUUGCCUGGUUUUCCUCAUCCAGAUGAACUGUAAUUGAGUUAUCCACACCCUUUUCCUACAGGCAUCCCCUCACUCCACAUUGGCAAUGGUUGCUGCUCCUGAGGGAGCAGCUCCCCCCAUGAUUUAUUCUCCUCUUGUUUAACGUGCAGCGAUGGGGCUUUUUACUGCCUGUUAUUCAAAUUGGGCUUUGGGCACAAAAUUAUUCAUUUCCGUGUGGUUUUUCCACGGUGCUCAUGACAGCAGUGUCUGAGUGUUUCACAUGCACCAUUUCCUUUUCCAGCAAUUCUGAGAGGAUGCUGACCCUGUAUUAUCAGUGAGGAAAGAAGACAGGCAGCGAUGAAUUAAAGAAAGGGUCUUCAUAAUUCUGGAUUCUCCAUGUGAGUCACCUACAGCCCGAGAACUGUGAUGACAGACACACAGAGCUCAGCUCAGCUCCAGCAGUCACUGUACAACAAACAAACUGGAUCUAAAGAUCUCCCACCUAAACACCCAGGCAAGGCAGAGCACGCAGGCCAAGCAUUGGAAGAUGAGGAGAGUGAGAGCAGGAACAGAAGCAAGUGCAUGAUAACCUACUAAGAUAGUGUCUGUGCUGUGAAGUUCAAGGGCCCGUUUCCUUACAAACCACUCAGUGUGUCUGGCACCACGGAACUGAUGGGAACCACUCCCUGCAUUGAUCCAGCCAUGCAGACCUGAGGAUUAUUUGCCUACAAACAGCUAUUGUUUGCAGGAUUGAAAAACUAAAAAAAAAAAAACAAAUAUGUUUGUUUUCUCCACAGAUCAUGUUGCUUCCCACUUUCUCCAGAUAAGACACAUCUGGGGCCCGUGCCCAGGUUUCCAAAGCCGCGGUUGUCCAGGCAGGAAUAGAGGAGCCUAAAAUGUGCUUUCUUCUCCUGCUUCUUCCUCAGUGUCUCUUUGCUCUCACUCAUCCUCGCAUCUGUUCUGGGCCCAGUGCCCAACAGUUCUGCAUUAACGCCUCAGUACACACAGGCUCGCACAGCUGAACAGUUUGCAAUGCAACGUACCCGGUGCCGUCACGUCUUCCCGAAUCAAGCUCCUGCAAACAAUUUUUGUUUACGGGAAGAAGCACUUGCCUUCAUAAUGCUACUUGUGAGCUGUGCCCAGCUGACUCGAGCCAUUCCAGGUCUUCCCAGAGAAAUGGUUUUGCAGAGCACAGUCACGAAUCUAGGAAACACAGAACAGAGCAGGUAAACAAACAUCUUUAAAGAUGAUCCUGUCUCAGACCUUGAUCCUGCAAACCCGCACGGGCUUAAUGUUAAGCAUAUGAGCAGUCCCAGAUGACUUCAGCAGAGCUACUCGCAUUCUCACAGAGCAGAGUUUGCCAGAUCAGAGUCUUUAUGUCUAAUUGCAAAAUAAAAGGCAACUCUCCCAGUUCUAUCAACUGUAAUGAAUUGCUAUUAACAGCACAAUUUAAAAUAGCCGUGGGGCAGAUCCCUGGCAGACCCACUGGGGAUAAAGGGAUGUGGACUUGUUGCAACAGAACCUGGAAAUACUUUUUCUUGGACAAAGCCCUGUGCCAGUCAUAUGAAACACUAACACUGAUGAGGUUGUUUUUGUAGGCUUCGACCUGUGCAAAGCUUUUUUUUGUGGUUAUUCUCUGCACAGUUCCUCCCUUUUCUACCCUCUGGGUUGAAUUCUGCUGUUUGAACCAGAAGCUGGAAGCUCUGCUUGGGGGUACUUUCUGUAAGGAUUUGAUGAUGUUCCAACGUCCAAAGGUACCUUUACAAGUAAAAGUGGGAAAAAAACCAGACCACGGCCCCUGUCCACCAGGCUUUUGGCACCAGGUCAGCAUCCACGACCCUGGGCUGCGCGCGGGGUCCCAUCCGUGUCCCCUCGGGUGAGCACAAUAGGCGACAUUGUGUCCCGUCGCUUCCACUAACGGCGAGGCGGGGGGACAGGCGAAUCUGGGGGCACAGAGAGCAAAACCCACCCAUGCCUGUUAAUG